CCAAUAGCGUAUAUUAAAGUUGUUGCAGUUAAAAAGCUCGUAGUUGAAUUUCGGGACCAAUAUGUCUGUCGUGCCUUCGGUACGUACGGGUAUAAUUGGUUUCUACCUUCUGAUGAACCUUGAUGCCAUUAAUUUGGUGUCUUGGGGACUCAGGACUGUUACCUUGAAAAAAUUAGAGUGUUUAAAGCAGGCAUACGCUUGAAUACAUUAGCAUGGAAUAAUGAAAUAGGACGUUCGAUUCUAUUUUGUUGGUUUCUAGGAUCGACGUAAUGAUUAAUAGGGAUAGUUGGGGGCAUUAGUAUUCAAUUGUCAGAGGUGAAAUUCUUGGAUUUAUUGAAGACUAACUACUGCGAAAGCAUUUGCCAAGGAUGUUUUCAUUAAUCAAGAACGAAAGUUAGGGGAUCGAAGACGAUCAGAUACCGUCGUAGUCUUAACCAUAAACUAUGCCGACUAGGGAUCGGAUGAUGUUAAUUUUUUAAUGACUCAUUCGGCGCCUUACG
This 500-nucleotide ribosomal RNA is filed under the name uncultured Glomeromycotina. Its description in RNAcentral is "partial small subunit ribosomal RNA". It matches the Rfam family "Eukaryotic small subunit ribosomal RNA", at positions 591 to 1092 of the family's 1831-position model. Lineage: Eukaryota; Fungi; Glomeromycota. The record is from RNAcentral.